This 83-nucleotide transfer RNA is filed under the name Fructilactobacillus ixorae. RNAcentral describes it as "tRNA-Leu". It matches the Rfam family "tRNA". From Rfam's summary of the family: Transfer RNA (tRNA) molecules are approximately 80 nucleotides in length. Their secondary structure includes four short double-helical elements and three loops (D, anti-codon, and T loops). Further hydrogen bonds mediate the characteristic L-shaped molecular structure. tRNAs have two regions of fundamental functional importance: the anti-codon, which is responsible for specific mRNA codon recognition, and the 3' end, to which the tRNAs corresponding amino acid is attached (by aminoacyl-tRNA synthetases). tRNAs cope with the degeneracy of the genetic code in two manners: having more than one tRNA (with a specific anti-codon) for a particular amino acid; and 'wobble' base-pairing, i.e. permitting non-standard base-pairing at the 3rd anti-codon position. The record is from RNAcentral. RNAcentral also lists the same sequence under 1 other name. Lineage: Bacteria; Bacillati; Bacillota; Bacilli; Lactobacillales; Lactobacillaceae.
GCGGACGUGGCGGAAUUGGCAGACGCGCUAGAUUUAGGUUCUAGUGUCUUUGAGACGUGGGGGUUCGAGUCCCUUCGUCCGCA